This 320-nucleotide long non-coding RNA is filed under the name Solanum tuberosum (potato). Its description in RNAcentral is "long non-coding RNA (STUB_LNC001302)". The record is from RNAcentral. Lineage: Eukaryota; Viridiplantae; Streptophyta; Magnoliopsida; Solanales; Solanaceae.
CUCUUUCACCAUAUCUUGUAAACCUUCGUUUUCUUUUUUAGUUGUCCCGAUACUUUGACAUUGAUCACGUCUGCAUCUUCUACAGAACACACAACAAAUUGGUUGAGUCCUAAUGCUGGUGAUGUAAAAGAUGUUUUCGGUUGAGGUAACCGUGACAUAAAAUGAGAUGGAGAACUUAUAACAGAAAUGAUUAUAAAGUCUACGAAAAAGGGGUGUGACAGUCAGGAGGUAAAUUUAGGUGUAUAGAGUGGUGUGUCCACUCCAAGCAAAAGAGACUUUAAGAUGGCUUCACAGACCGCGGUAUCAUAGAUCAAUAAAUG